CGGCGCGUCGUGAUCUCUAGAUUGCAUUAUCGAAAACAAAUGAGAUCGAUUGCAUAAUAUUCUCGGAUACCUUGGAUGCGAUGAAAACCUAGCCAUGGUUUUGCAUCCACGUGUGUGAUGACGAGAAAGGGGUAACUAUUUGAGCUAUCGCACAAUUUCCGCCGGUGGAGAGCUCUGAGAGUUUCCGGUGCAAAUGCAGUUUCCGUUCGACUAUGCCACAAACUCGCCGAUCUUCGAGUUUAUUCUUCUGAGAUAUUUCCUUCAUGUUCGAGAGACUGUAAUCGCGAUCUUGAACUCUCUGAUUCUGCCACUGCCUUUCUCUUAGUUUUCUUUCUUCGAAAGACUCACGUGAACGACCACAUCAAUAUUAUAUGCCAGGAAUUGAAAGAAAUUUUCUCCACGAGAAAAUCUUAUCUAUUGGCUACAAGAUUGCUUAUCAAAAGGCAUCAGAAAAUCUUUAUCCAACAAUAUCGAUAACUUUUUCUUCUUCGUUGCACUGAUACAAUUUGUAUGGAAUAUAUAGUUAUCUGCGUUAUUGGAUUUAUGA
Molecule: non-coding RNA, 547 nt
Organism: Nylanderia fulva
Lineage: Eukaryota; Metazoa; Arthropoda; Insecta; Hymenoptera; Formicidae
Source: RefSeq, a predicted model, not a curated record